This 34-nucleotide non-coding RNA is filed under the name uncultured Symbiodinium. Lineage: Eukaryota; Dinophyceae; Suessiales; Symbiodiniaceae. The record is from RNAcentral.
GUCCAUGUUGUCGGAGAAGCCGCCGCUCGCCGUG